GGCCAAUGACAUAUUAAGCCAUAUUAAUAAUUUAUGACUUACACUUAAUUAUUAAAAAACCUCUUAUUCUACUCAAAACAAGAGAA
RNAcentral lists this ribosomal RNA (86 nucleotides) under Boana polytaenia (Cope's eastern Paraguay treefrog). RNAcentral's name for it is "partial 16S ribosomal RNA". Lineage: Eukaryota; Metazoa; Chordata; Amphibia; Anura; Hylidae. The record is from RNAcentral.